This 744-nucleotide ribosomal RNA is filed under the name Escherichia coli. RNAcentral describes it as "partial 23S ribosomal RNA". It matches the Rfam family "Bacterial large subunit ribosomal RNA", at positions 2180 to 2925 of the family's 2925-position model. Lineage: Bacteria; Pseudomonadati; Pseudomonadota; Gammaproteobacteria; Enterobacterales; Enterobacteriaceae. The record is from RNAcentral.
AUGGAGCCGACCUUGAAAUACCACCCUUUAAUGUUUGAUGUUCUAACGUUGACCCGUAAUCCGGGUUGCGGACAGUGUCUGGUGGGUAGUUUGACUGGGGCGGUCUCCUCCUAAAGAGUAACGGAGGAGCACGAAGGUUGGCUAAUCCUGGUCGGACAUCAGGAGGUUAGUGCAAUGGCAUAAGCCAGCUUGACUGCGAGCGUGACGGCGCGAGCAGGUGCGAAAGCAGGUCAUAGUGAUCCGGUGGUUCUGAAUGGAAGGGCCAUCGCUCAACGGAUAAAAGGUACUCCGGGGAUAACAGGCUGAUACCGCCCAAGAGUUCAUAUCGACGGCGGUGUUUGGCACCUCGAUGUCGGCUCAUCACAUCCUGGGGCUGAAGUAGGUCCCAAGGGUAUGGCUGUUCGCCAUUUAAAGUGGUACGCGAGCUGGGUUUAGAACGUCGUGAGACAGUUCGGUCCCUAUCUGCCGUGGGCGCUGGAGAACUGAGGGGGGCUGCUCCUAGUACGAGAGGACCGGAGUGGACGCAUCACUGGUGUUCGGGUUGUCAUGCCAAUGGCACUGCCCGGUAGCUAAAUGCGGAAGAGAUAAGUGCUGAAAGCAUCUAAGCACGAAACUUGCCCCGAGAUGAGUUCUCCCUGACUCCUUGAGAGUCCUGAAGGAACGUUGAAGACGACGACGUUGAUAGGCCGGGUGUGUAAGCGCAGCGAUGCGUUGAGCUAACCGGUACUAAUGAACCGUGAGGCU